This 491-nucleotide ribosomal RNA is filed under the name uncultured bacterium. Its description in RNAcentral is "bacterial SSU rRNA". It matches the Rfam family "Bacterial small subunit ribosomal RNA", at positions 29 to 509 of the family's 1533-position model. The record is from RNAcentral.
AGUGAACGCUGGCGGCAGGCCUAAUACAUGCAAGUCGAACGGCAGCACAGCAGAGCUUGCUCUGUGGGUGGCGAGUGGCGGACGGGUGAGGAAUACAUGGGAAUCUGCCCAGUCGUGGGGGAUAACGUAUGGAAACGUACGCUAAUACCGCAUGCGCCCUACGGGGGAAAGUCGGGGACCGCAAGGCCUGACGCGAUUGGAUGAGCCCAUGUUCGAUUAGCUAGUUGGCGGGGUAAAGGCCCACCAAGGCGACGAUCGAUAGCUGGUCUGAGAGGAUGAUCAGCCACACUGGAACUGAGACACGGUCCAGACUCCUACGGGAGGCAGCAGUAGGGAAUAUUGGACAAUGGGGGCAACCCUGAUCCAGCCAUGCCGCGUGAGUGAAGAAGGCCCUCGGGUUGUAAAGCUCUUUUGUCCGGAAAGAAAGCAAUCGGUUAAUACCCGGUUGUUCUGACGGUACCGGAAGAAUAAGCACCGGCUAACUCCGUGCC